This 456-nucleotide ribosomal RNA is filed under the name uncultured soil bacterium. Its description in RNAcentral is "bacterial SSU rRNA". It matches the Rfam family "Bacterial small subunit ribosomal RNA", at positions 26 to 518 of the family's 1533-position model. The record is from RNAcentral.
AGAACGAACGCUGGCGGCAGGCCUAACACAUGCAAGCCGAACGAGAAGCCACCUUCGGGUGGUGGAAAGUGGCAGACGGGUGAGUAACGCGUGGGAACGUACCCUUUGGUUCGGAACAACUCCGGGAAACUGGAGCUAAUACCGGAUGAGCCCUACGGGGGAAAGAUUUAUCGCCGAAGGAUCGGCCCGCGUCGGAUUAGCUAGUUGGUGAGGUAACGGCUCACCAAGGCUACGAUCCGUAGCUGGUCUGAGAGGAUGAUCAGCCACACUGGGACUGAGACACGGCCCAGACUCCUACGGGAGCAGCAGUGGGGAAUAUUGGACAAUGGGCGCAAGCCUGAUCCAGCCAUGCCGCGUGAGUGAUGAAGGCCUUAGGGUGUAAAGCUCUUUCGCCGAGGGACGAUAAUGACGUACCUGGAUAAGAACGCCCCGGACUAACUUCGUGCCAGCAGCCGC